Long non-coding RNA from Sebastes umbrosus (honeycomb rockfish), 443 nucleotides. RefSeq lists it as uncharacterized. Lineage: Eukaryota; Metazoa; Chordata; Actinopteri; Perciformes; Sebastidae. The transcript is spliced from 2 exons. The record is from RefSeq and is a predicted model, not a curated record.
GCCUGUUGGAUAAACUGCUUUUUCCUUUGACAUGUCAAAUUUUCAUAGUCAUUAACAUACCAGUGCUGUAAGAGUUAUAGGAUUAGUUUGAUAUUUUGAGAAAUACUUCAAUUUACAAUACUGUAACUGUUUUGGCGACUUGGGACCAGCGGAAACACGUUGGUAUGGGGAAGCUGUUUGCAAACAGUUGCAUUCAUUUGAAGUUGUGUUUUCUGGCCACCGGAUGAAUUCAUCCAUGCAUGGGUGGACGGGCCCGACGCUGGGCCGAUCCCACCCCGCGAGGCAGGGAUCCCCAGGCUGUGUGGGACGAGGGGAUCCUGUUAACCUGCGUGCAUCCCAGUCGUCAUGCAUCCACCCCUGAGUUCCCCACCGCUGCACUUCACAGAAACAGAUUGCCUUGAGGAUUUAUCGCCGAAGAGCUAAAUACAGGCAUGCAAUGUUGA